RNAcentral lists this ribosomal RNA (253 nucleotides) under uncultured bacterium. RNAcentral's name for it is "partial 16S ribosomal RNA". It matches the Rfam family "Bacterial small subunit ribosomal RNA", at positions 524 to 776 of the family's 1533-position model. The record is from RNAcentral.
UACGUAGGAGGCGAGCGUUGUCCGGAUUUACUGGGCGUAAAGGGCGCGCAGGCGGCCUUGCAAGUAGCGUGUGAAAUCCACCUGCUCAACGGGUGGGGUGCAUGGUAGACUGCAGGGCUAGAGGACGGUAGAGGGGGGUGGAAUUGCUGGUGUAGCGGUGAAAUGCGUAGAGAUCAGCAGGAACACCGGUGGCGAAAGCGCGAGACUGGGCCGUAACUGACGCUGAGGAACGAAAGCCAGGGUAGCCAAAGGG